Molecule: long non-coding RNA, 16969 nt
Filed under: Triticum aestivum (bread wheat)
Lineage: Eukaryota; Viridiplantae; Streptophyta; Magnoliopsida; Poales; Poaceae
Description: long non-coding RNA (TAES_LNC013200)
Rfam family: MIR1120/MIR1122 microRNA precursor family (bases 3385-3471)
Source: RNAcentral
CUUUUUUAAGUAAGCAUUAGCACUGGAAUAAAAUCUUUUUUAGUUUAAAAAAAAGUAAGCAUUAGCACUCUACUGGUCCGUGUAGCCCAGCCGCGGGCAAAGAACAUGGCCCUUGCCUCUGAAGAAAAGCCCUUACGCAAUCCGGGAUUCGGAAGGAGCUCAUCAUCCUGUCGAGUUCUCAGUCCCACCAAAAUGCAACCCCUCAGUUUUGUUGACCCAGUUAAAAGGAAAUACUCUCUCUUAUGUCUCAAAAUCAAAAUAGUAUCAGAAAACGUCUUACAUUUUGAGACUGAGGGAGCACUAAAGUCGUCUAGAAAAGAAACCAGUUCAAUCAAAUUUCCCUCAACCGUCCGAUCUACAUCCCACAGCCAGAGUCAUAUUCUUCCUCCUCCCGUGUCUGCCCGUAGACUCACCCUUCGACGCCCGCUGAAGUGUCGGCUCCCGCAUCCCCGUCUCACCUUCGGAGGCACCCUUCGACGCCCGCUGAAGUGUCGGCUCCCGCAUCCCCGUCUCACCUUCGGAGGCUCCGCAGAUUCGACUGGCGCCUGAAUGUUUUUCGGACGCCUAAAGAAUAGCAAACGCGCAAUAAGUAUCAUUAUAUGCCAUCACAUAGAAAGUGAUCCGCUCAGUAUCCAGUCUCCAUGAAUGUUGCCCUUCCUGCACCAAGUUCCAAAUUGGGGACUCAGUUGAACGAAGUCAGCAGAAUGGAAGCGAUGCCCAUGAUUAAAGUAGCACACACAACACCAUAUUGGGUACACAUGUAGUAGGUGUUUGGAUGGAGACUUGCAGUGUGAGAAGUGUACCCUUGGAGCGACCUCAAGGAUCCCAAGACUGGAGAUGCGCAUAUGCACAAAAUUUUAACACCAAGUCAGGCACUGGAAAGCUACCAUAUCAUCCUGCAACAAAAGAGUUCAUUACAUACAAAAGUUAUUUAAAAUUAAAGCUGACAAACAUAUGAAAACCUGAGGACCCAGUCAGGCAGUGGAAGUCUGCAAGCUAAUGAACAAGAAAUCACGCAAACUAAGGUGCAUCAUCAGACAAAACAAAAACAAAAACAUAAAGCUCUAAGCAACGAUUUACUCCCUCCGUCCCAAAAUCAGUGUCGUUGUUUUAGUUUAAAUUGAACAGAUUUGAAGUAAAACCACGACACUUGUUUUGGGAUGGAGGGAGUACAAAACAUUUCACUGCGGCACAUUGCUCUGGGAUGAAGGAGAGUGGCCGCCUUGUGGUGCGUGGGCAUAAAGUGCAUCAUCCGUCACCAGUUCAGCUUCAGCAUACAGUUCAGCCACCCUUGCCACCAGUUCAGCUUCAGCAUACAGUUCCUCUCCACUUAGUUCUUCUCCAGCAGACCUGACCUGCCACACAUCACCCAUCCACUUCUGGGCAACAACAAAUCAGUGCAUUAUGAUCUCUCAAUCGUUUUCAGUACCGAAAGAAUAUUGUACCAGAUGUCUUCCAAAUACUCGUACUGCAUGGCAGCAUGAGUUCUAAAUGGCAGCAUAAGCUUAAUUAUAAGCUAAGGUCAAAUGUUAGAAUCCAGCAUAAAUUGCCCAAUAAAUUUCAUCUUUUUUCCCUGUUAGCUCAAAGUCGGUACUAUUACUUCUAAGGCUGCUAUAACACCCCUUCACGGUGAUUCGGUUCGAGUGGAGAUGGCAUGGAAAUUCAAAGCACUCGCUUUGCAGUUUCAAAUAUGGCCGAUGGCGAGGGCUAGGAAUCAUAGAGUGGUGAAACCCAAGUGGAAAAGGGAGGCUCGUCGGCCCACCACUCAGGGUGUGUGCCUCCAUGUCCAUGGUCGGUGGGCACUGCCGGCAAGCAACUAGGAGGCCUUUUUGCAAAUCUAGUAACAAGAAAAGGCUUGCCAGCCAACAGUUAUGGUGUUCCAACUUUCCCAGCAAACAGGAUUUUCACCCAGGUCCUGUCAUGCACUAAAUAUUUUUGGGGAGUGCCUAGAACUCAUUUAGAUAAGAUAUAAUUUGGUCUCAUUCACCUUGAAAACAAGAAAAGGUACAACCCACGUCAACACACACGCAUCUUAUAGCAUCACAUCCAAUGGCUAUAAAAGGUGAAUGAGACCAAACUAUAUCUCAUCUAGAUGAGUUCUAGCAAAACUAAUAUUUUUGACAGCAAUAUGUUAGGCAGAGAUCUGACAGAAGAAAGUGCCCGUGCGCCGUGCGUGUGUACGUGUCGUGCCAUGGCUGGUUCUGAAAGGCAACUUUAAUCGACCAAAAAAUCAAAAACGAUUCAGAAAAAGCAUCACUGAUCUGGUCCGCUGCCGCCGGUCACUGCAAACUCUCACUCAGCGUUAAAGGGAAAAGGGUGUGACUUUUUCCAGCCACUGUGCUGUUCCAACAUAGGUCUUCUUCAAGAUGCAGCCCCCAGCUAAUAAUGAGAGAUCCCCUGAUGAUUCGAACUCCAAGUGGCAUGCAUGUAAACCUCAAAAGUUCAUUCAUGGCCAGAAACCCCACCACUACCAUUUCUACUGUGUGCAAACCUGCUGUGGGGCGCAUAAAAUUAGGACGCACUAGAUUUUGAUGUGGGCGAACCAGCUAACACAAUGACCUGAUAGGCACUAAAAACGCUGCCCUCCCUGUUGAGUAUCUACCAGUUCAUAUCCAUGUACUCAACUUCCAUUUCCAUUGUUCAAGAACUAUGAAAAGAUCACAGUAAAGUGUCCCAUGAAAAUGAUAGGCACCUUAAAUCUUUCCACUGUACCUACAAACCACACUAAUAACACUGUCCACUUAUCAACUGAACAAGCUUGCCAAUGUAACCAGUGCACAGUGCACAUAUCACAUAUGCAAAUAUUGUGUUGGAAAAAAAACAUGGUUUGCCAGUGAUUGUUUUCAGAAGUCAGAUUUACCUUAAUGUGGUUGCGGCGAGUAAGUGUAUGGCUUGAGAAUAUAUGAUCAAGUCGUGACAAUACGACGGAUAAGUGCAUUUUUGGAAGACAAAAGAAAAAUAAGAAUCCAAAUCUGCAAAAGUAAAGGUAUAUGGUCAGUAUGAUGAUGUUAAAGUAGAUAGCCACAUAACUAAUGUCCAUGUCAAUUGUCAAUAUUAUAGGAUAAAGAAGAGUAAUGGCCUUCAGGACGCUUACCACUUUGAUUCUGAACCACUAUUCCGGCCAGGAUCAACUAACAUGGAAGGAUAGGAUGACUUAGUUCUGAGAAUGAAAAAAUGAAUCCAAUAUUGUAUGAACACAUACUUGGAUCAACUUUCAGUGACUAUCAUUGUCCAUGAUCAAUUGACGCCAUAGGGGUAAAUAAUGAGCCGAAAUAUUGAUGGAACAAACAUGAUUUCAUACUUAAAGUGACGCUGUUAUAUUCCUCCGAUGCUGAUGUUUACGAGGUCUCUAGGUUUUCAGAACAAAGGCUUCCUGCCUAUCAUUUACUCCCUCCAUCCCAUAAUGUAAGACGUUUUUUGACACUACACUAGAGCCAAAAAACGUCUUACAUUAUGGGACGGAGGGAGUAUUUAUCAACUAAAGUUGCUGUUUAUUCCCUGCAACGCUUUUGACUACCACUGACAGCUUAUGUGCUCAAUUUUCUGGGCACAGUAUGUAGGGAGGGUAAAUUUACAUAUAUUGAUGAAUAUGAUAACCCAUUUUACAAAUGCUGAGCUAGAUGUCUAAGAUAAGCUAGGUUCAACUUUGAGGUGGCAACAUUAGAUGUUUAUAAUCAAUGGAGGAACGGCCGAGCAGUAUGUAAACAAACAGACUGGAGUAUACAUACCAGUGCUGCAUUAGUAUAUUUUUUACUGUACUUGUGCAUAGGAUCAUAGGCAUUUCUUCCAAAAAGGGAGUAUCACACAGGCAUUUCUGAAUAUUCUUCUAGUGAGAAUGCAGUUUUGAAAUGAAAAGGAGAGUUGUACAUACAGAAGUUUGAAACCAAAAUAAAACUCACUUAUGUGUCUUCGAAUUUGAUGUACUUGUCACAAGAAAUUAAGGAUUAGAAUUGUUAGCUCAUCAAGAAACUAGGUCAUCUUAAGCUAUUGAUACUUUCCUAUUUUUCCUUCUUAUGUGAAGUUGUGAACUAAAUUUGUGGUUCACACUCCAAUAGUCUGGUAUUAACCGUGCUUGAAACAAAAACAGGUGGGUGAGCGUGGUGUCCAAAUGUCCGGAGGGCAGAAGCAGAGGAUUGCUAUUGCCAGAGCAAUCCUGAAGUCACCCAAGAUCCUCCUCCUUGAUGAAGCCACCAGUGCAUUGGAUACUGAGUCAGAGCGUGUCGUACAGGAGGCACUCGACCUGGCCUCUGUAGGCCGGACGACUAUCGUCGUUGCACAUCGCCUCUCCACUAUCCGCAAUGCUGACAUGAUUGCUGUCAUGCAGUACGGCGAGGUCAAGGAGCUGGGCUCCCAUGAAGAGCUCAUCGCCGAUGAGAAUGGCCUCUACUCAUCUCUAGUUCGCCUUCAGCAGACUAGAGAAUCGAAUGAGGUUGAUGAGGUCAGUGGAGCCGGCAGUACUUCUGCCGUGGGGCAGUCCAGUAGCCACAGCAUGAGCAGGAGAUUCUCCGCGGCUAGCAGGUCAAGCUCAGCCCGUUCAUUGGGUGAUGCAGGCGAUGCUGACCACACUGAGGAGGCAAAGCUUCCACUGCCGUCCUUCAGAAGGCUGCUUAUGCUUAAUUCACCAGAGUGGAGGCAGGCGCUUAUGGGAGGCUUCAGUGCAAUUGUGUUCGGAGGCAUCCAGCCUGCUUAUGCAUACGCCAUGGGAAGCAUGAUCUCAGUCUACUUCUUGACCGAUCACGACGAGAUCAGGGACAAAACAAGGGCCUACGCUCUCAUCUUUGUCGCCCUUGCAGUGCUCUCGUUCUUGAUCAAUAUUGGACAGCAUUACAACUUUGGUGCUAUGGGAGAAUACCUCACCAAGAGGAUCAGGGAACAGAUGCUAACAAAAAUCCUCACUUUCGAGAUCGGAUGGUUUGACCGUGAUGAAAACUCCAGCGGUGCCAUAUGCUCACAGCUUGCCAAGGACGCCAACGUGGUAAGUACUAGACAGAAAUUAAGCAUGUUGAUACUUCAAUGGAAAUUCAUCUAACCUUGCAUAAUGAUUUUGUGUUUUGUUACAGGUGAGGUCUCUAGUGGGUGACCGUAUGGCGCUGGUGAUCCAAACAGUUUCUGCGGUGCUUAUUGCUUGCACCAUGGGUCUGGUCAUUGCCUGGCGCCUGGCCCUUGUCAUGAUAGCAGUGCAGCCUCUCAUCAUCGUCUGCUUCUAUGCUCGUCGUGUCUUACUCAAGAGCAUGUCCAAGAAAUCAAUACAGGCACAAUCCGAAAGUAGCAAGCUAGCUGCUGAGGCUGUCUCCAAUCUACGCACAAUCACGGCCUUCUCAUCCCAGGACCGCAUCUUAGGCCUCUUCAACCAAGCACAGAACGGCCCACGGAAGGAAAGCAUCCGGCAGUCGUGGAUUGCAGGCCUUGGCCUUGGCACUUCCAUGAGCCUGAUGACAUGCACAUGGGCCCUGGAUUUCUGGUUUGGUGGCCGGCUCAUAGCUCAGCACCACAUUACUGCCAAGGCACUCUUCCAGACCUUCAUGAUUCUAGUAAGCACAGGGCGUGUGAUUGCUGAUGCAGGUAGCAUGACAACAGACCUAGCUAAGGGUUCUGAUGCAAUCGCCUCGGUGUUUGCUGUUCUCGACCGGGUAACAGAAAUCGACCCUGACAACCCUGAAGGAUACAAGCCAGAGAAGCUUAAAGGUGAAGUGGACAUCAGAGGAGUCGACUUUGCAUACCCGUCGAGGCCAGAUGUGAUCAUCUUCAAAGGAUUCUCUUUAAGCAUCCAAUCAGGCAAGUCAACAGCCCUGGUUGGGCAAAGUGGCUCUGGCAAGUCGACCAUCAUUGGGCUUAUAGAGCGAUUCUAUGACCCGGUGAGGGGAAUGGUAAAAAUUGAUGGCAGAGACAUCAAAACAUAUAAUCUUCGAGCCCUGCGGCGGCACAUUGGACUGGUCAGCCAGGAGCCAACGCUAUUUGCUGGCACAAUCAGAGAGAACAUUGUGUAUGGCACAGAAACAGCAAGUGAGGCAGAAAUUGAGAAUGCAGCAAGGUCCGCCAAUGCACAUGACUUCAUCAGCAACCUCAAGGAUGGAUAUGACACAUGGUGUGGCGAGAGAGGUGUUCAGCUGUCAGGAGGGCAGAAGCAGCGCAUUGCUAUUGCCCGUGCCAUCCUGAAGAACCCGGCCAUCUUGCUACUAGAUGAGGCUACCAGUGCACUGGACAGCCAGUCCGAAAAGGUGGUACAGGAGGCACUGGACAGAGUGAUGGUUGGCAGGACAAGUGUGGUGGUGGCACACAGGCUCAGCACAAUCCAAAACUGUGACCUCAUCACUGUGCUCGACAAAGGAAUUGUUGUGGAGAAGGGCACACACUCAUCCCUCAUGUCAAAGGGUCCCUCUGGAACAUAUUAUAGCUUGGUUAGUUUGCAACAAGGAGGCAACCAGAACUAAGUAUUUCCAUGAGAAUAGAGCACUCGUAUUUGAAUUAGAACUGUAAGCAAGGAUGGCAAUCAGAUCAUCUAAACUUACGGCGACAAUGGGCUAUUUUUCCUCCUGUUGCACUAUCGGUAUAUAGAAGUGUACCAAGCUUGUAGUUUAUUCAUAUAACUGCUGGAUAUGUAUUGCAGUGAUGCAAAGGUCAAGAAAUCUAAGAUAAGCAGUAUAGUAGGUUUCUAGGUUGUAUCUGUAUUUAUUUUUCUGUCUCCUAAUUAUUCAAAACCACUAUACUUAUUCACAACACGGAUUUGUACCGGCACGAGCUAAGUUUCACAAUUCAAAAGUAGGAACAAACAUUAAUUAAAGUUUUAUAUCUUUGACCCAGAUGUGGAUUGACAAGGAACGCAAGGAAACAAAUAAAUGAGGUCUACAAUCCAUAGAGCGGUAAUAAUACGACAAAGUCAUAAGAACAGAGAAGAGACAAGUAUGUGGUUGCAAUUUUUCUAUGUUAGUAUCAAAAUGUUAAAAGACCAGCAAUUUUUAUGAGAUGUGAGCAUGAGUAGAUCCAGUGCGUAGUCUAUGGGAGGUAUCCCCACUCCCUCCCCCAAAUAAUUUGCAAAACUCACUAGUUCAUAUACAUGUAUGUCAAAUUUAGUCUAGCGCAACACCUCAAACAAACCACUAAUGUCGUUGAGGAUUUCAGCACACAAAUACCAGCUUUAUUUGGACAAUUGACUUGAUGAAAUACAACACUAUUGCUAAUUCUAAAUAGAUUAUUAGUGUCACUUUUACUAACAUAACCCUGCAACUUCUUGUAUCAACACUUGUUUAUCUGCUACUCUGUUGUACCUAGCUAGUUGGGGUUAUAUCAGAUACAAUAGAGCCAGUUACUUCUCUUGGAUCUUGCUUUAAGUAUUGCAAUCAUCCAAUUCUAAGACCAUUGUUGGACAGGUGGGCAGAAUAGAGCAAGAACUUUGAGGAGUACUUUGAAGGGCUGGAAUAUUAAUUAUAAGUGUUUCUUAAAAAAACAGUAUCCAUAGAUACAGUGAGGUAAAUGGUCUAGAUUUGACUAAUUUUAAUCUGAGAAAGCAGUUGAGUGAACAGUGCAUUAUGAAAGAGGAGCAGGUCAAGUGGUUUCAGAGUGCUAAGAUGACUGAGUUUCUUAAAGGAGAUUCUCUCACUUCCUAUUUUAUUUCUAAAGCUAGUGGUAAGAAUAGGAAAAACAAGAUUUACUACAAACCUCUAAAACUUAUAUAAUCACUGAAUAUCAGAUUGCAUAUAUAAUUGAGCAUCACAUUGCAUUAUAUAAUUGAGCAUCACAUGUGUAUUUCUUUGCAUCAGGAAGAGGUGAUUGUACAGGGCGGUGAGGAGAUUUUGAUAUGCUACUAAUUUUCUUAAAAAUAGUUUGGCCUUGUAGAAGAUAGUGUGCAUAUUUCUAUAGAGGUUCCUUUGCAAAAUGUUCUAGAGGAUUGUGAUAGAGCCAAAUUACAUGCACCUUUUACUGUAGAGGAAGUUAAAAAUGCUACUUUUCAAAUGAAAUGUAAUAAGGCUCCUGGCCUAGAUAGUUUCCCUAUAGAGUUUUAUCAGCACUAUUGGCCUUUGAUUAGUACAGAUAUUAUGAGUUUGUUUGACGGUUUUUAUCUAGGUAAAUUAGGUCUUGCUUGUAUUAAUUAGAAGAUGCUCUAAGACCAUUUAGCAGAAAUAUCGAAAUAGAAGUAAAGAUUACUAAUUUGGUCUUGUGAGCAACCAUGUUAUUUUGGUUAAAAGCUAUUUAGUAUCCCCAGUUCCCAUCUUGUAAUGGCUAACUUUGGAUCUUGGCUUCUUUUAUGGAGGGCCUAGAUCACCAAGAUAGUAGUAGCUUUCUGUAUUUAUAUUCUGUCUGCUCUAGGAUAGUAGUUAUGGGUGGGCACAACAUCUGCAGUUUCGUCUAGAAAAUCUAACUCGUGGAAAGCUUGCAAAUUCCCUAAAGUUAGGCAGGCCCAAAGUUUCACGAACAAGUGAGCUACUAGCAGCUAAGCUAAGGUUCAGUCAAACUGCGGUCACUACUAUCUUUCACCACUGCUUAGGUUUUGCUGAUGGAAUCAAUAAUAAACUAGAGCAGACAUGCUUGCUUUCUCUCUAUUUUGGGGUACAUUUACCAAAAAGGCUUUCGCCCCGCUUUAUAUUAUAAAGCCAACCGCACCACAAGCAUCCAAUAAGGUCCAACACAAAACCACGCACACACACACGAAAGCCCACAGGAACAAAAGGUACAAGAAAGGGUCAAUGCUGAGGGCACAGCACAACAAGCCCUAAACCCAAAACACACACGCCAUACAGCCGCCAGGCGGUCUAGUCAGGCUCAGGAGGAGGAGGUGGCAGCGGGGGAGCCACGCGGAGCGCCAUCGAGCGGAGAUCGGAGAGGAGGGUGGUGAUGACGUCCCGGUCCUGGGGGCGGCUAAGCGGCCGCCAAAGCUGCAGGUAGCCACACAAUUUGAAGAUUGCGUCAUUCGCACGUCGGAGAGGCACCUUCUGAAUAACAAGCUUAUUGCGAAUGUUCCAAAGCGUCCAGGCGAGAACCCCAACGCACAACCAUCUAAUAUGGCGGUAGCGAGUAGGGGAAGCAUUGAGCUCGGCAAGCAGGUCGGGGAAGUUGGUAUUACACCACUGUCCGCCAACCGUUUCGCGGAAGCAGACCCAAAGGAACUGGGCCGAGUGGCACGAGCAAAAGAUGUGGUUAGCAUCCUCAAUCGUGCCACAGAUGGGGCACAUCCCAUCACCCGGGCCAUUACGCUUGAGGACUUCAAGCCCAGAGGGGAGGCGUCCACGGAUCCAUUGCCACAGGAAGACCCUGAUUUUCAGCGGAAGUCGGAUGUCCCAGAUCAGGCUAAAUGGUUCCGGGGCCAUCGAGGGAGCAAUGGCGCCGUACAGAGACUUCGUGGAGAAGCGGCCAGAGGGCUCGAGGCGCCAGGAAAGAACAUCCCGGUCCUCCUCGAUGUUAAUCGGCAUAAGUGCGAUGUCUUGGAGGAGGGAGUCCCAGGCGGCCACCUCGAGGGGGCCAAAGGGGCGCCGGAAGGCGAGACGCCCUAAGUCAAUAAGGGCCGUCUCGACAGAGACCCGAGGGCCAGCCGCAAUGGCAAAUAGUUCUAGGAAUCGCGCAGCCAGGGGGGAGUCCCCAAGCCAGCGGUCGAACCAGAACAAGGUCGAGGCCCCGGAGCCAACCGAGAUGGAUGUGCCGAUGCGUAGUACGGGCAGAAGCUGGAUCACGGACUGCCAGAACUGGGAUCCACCCGUACGUUGGCAAAAGGCAUGAGGUUGGCCACGGAGGUACUGAUUACGGAUGAUGGUGAGCAUGAGGCCUCCCUCCCCAUUGGCAAUACGCCACAGCCAUCGGGUCAGGAGGGCAAUGUUCAUGCGUCGGGAUGACAGGAUCCCAAGGCCACCCUGGUCUUUGGGUUUGCAGAUGUCGGGCCAGCUCACCAUAUGGUACUUCUGCUUGUCGCCCUCACCAGCCCAGAAGAACCUCGACUGGUAUUUGGCCAUCUCCUGAUGGAGGGUCUCAUGAAGGCUGUAGAAGCUCAUGAGAAACCAGAGAAGGCUGGCAAGCGAGGAGUUGAUUAGAAUCACCCUGGCAGCUUUCGACAGCCAGCGUCCCCUCCAGGGUUCAACCCUGUGCUGCAUCCUAGUCACCGUCGGGCGGAGAUCCGCGACGGUGAGUCUGGAGUCACUAAUGGGCACCCCCAAGUAAGUCGUGGGGAAGGAGCCCAGGCGGCAGUUCAACCGGUCCGCAAUGGACAAAGCAUCGUCCGGGGGGUAGCCGAGGACCAUCACUUCGCUCUUGUCGAAGUUGAUGGUGAGGCCGGACAUCUCUUGGAAGCACAGGAGGAGGAACUUCAGGUUGGCGAUGUCGGACGCGGAGCCCUCCACCAUGAGUAUGGUGUCGUCCGCGUAUUGGAGGAGGGAAACCCCUCCUCCGUCCACUAGGUGGGGGACAACGCCCCGGAUAUGGCCGCAGGCUUUGGCCUUAUCAAGGAUGACCGUAAGGGCAUCGACAACCAUGUUAAAAAGGAAUGGGGAGAACGGGUCACCCUGGCGCACCCCACAUAGGGUGGGGAAGUAGGGACCGAUCUCGCCGUUAAUGUUGAUCGCCGUCCGACCGCAGGUGACGAGUUGCAUAACGCGGGUCACCGAGCGGUCGUCAAAGCCCUUCCGAAGCAAUACUUCCCGAAGGAAGGGCCAGUGGACCGUGUCGUAGGCCUUAUGGAAGUCGAGCUUAAGGAACACCGCGCGGUGGUGCUUGGAUCGGACUUCGUGGAGGACUUCGUGAAAGACCAACACCCCAUCCAAAAUAAAUCGGCCUUGAAUGAAGGCGGAUUGGUUGGGGUGGGUGAAAGAGUCCGCAAGAAGGGUCACCCUAUUGGCGUAUCCUUUGGCCAGGAUCCUGAAGAUCACGUUAAUCACGGUGAUCGGGCGGAACUGGCGGAUGUACGAGGCCCCCGGAACCUUUGGGGAUGAGGGUAAUGAUCCCAUAGUUCAGGCGCCCCAGGUCCAUGGUCCCAGAGAAGAACUCGUCGAAGAGGUCCAUGACCUCCGGUUUAAUGGAUUGCCAGAAUGUUUUAAAAAACAGGAUUGGCAAUCCAUCCGGGCCCGGAGCCGAGGAGGGGUUCAUUCCAUUGAUCGCCGCAAGGACCUCCUCCUGCGAGAAAGGCGCCACCAAAGCGGCAUUUGCCUCGGCGGAGACAAGCUGGGCACCCGACCAGGUAUCGGGGGCCAGCACAGCCCCACCCCGAGGGGUGGGGGUGAAAAGGGCUUUAUAGAAGCCGUCUACAUGGGCACGGAUGUCCGAGGGUCGAACAAGCUGAGUAUCACCUUCCCACAGGGAGUGAAUGGAGUUGCGACGACGCCGGCCGUUGGCAAUCGCCUGGAAGUAGGCCGUGUUGGCGUCGCCCUGAAGCACCCACCGUUGGGUGCCGCGCAACUGCCAGUAGGCCUCCUCGUCAGCAUAGAUGACCGAGAGCUGGUCCUCGAGAUCAUAUCUCAACAUCCACUCAUCCGGGGAGAUCCCGGACGAGUCAGCACGGGCGUCCAGGGCCUGGAUGGCGCUCAAGAGGGCCUUCUUGCGGUCACGGAUAUCACGACCGAGGUUCGCGCCCCAUCCCUUCAUAAAUUGGCGGGCUAGCUUGGCGCAGAACUGCCAGGAGUCCACCGCGGACAUGGCGCGGUGAGGGGAAUUGCGCACGGCGGUCCACUUAGCCGCAACAGCCUCGCGGAACCCGGCCUGGUUGAGCCAGAAGAGCUCAAACCGGAACCGAGGGGGGAUGGGGGCGUUCAUCAGCAGAGGAGAGGAGAAGAGGAACAUGAUCAGAGCCGAUCCUGGUAAUAGCCUGAACCGAGGCCAGGGGCAUCUGAGCUCCCAUUCCGGGGAAACUAAGACGCGGUCAAGGACAGACUACGUCGGGUUCGCCUGGCGGUUAGUCCAGGUGAACCGGGCCCCCGUGCGCUCGAGCUCAUGGAGGCCCAGCUCCGCGAUGCAGUCGUUAAACAUCUGCAUCCGGGGGCGAUUAACCCGGUCAUUGUUCUUCUCAUCCGGGGAGCGGAUGAGGUUAAAGUCACCUCCCACCACAACAGGGAGGGGGGAAGCGGAGAUCUUCUGCUGCAGCUCGGCGAGGAAGGUCGGGGAGCGGCUGUGGUCUGCCGGUCCAUAGACGAUGAUGACCUCCCAUUUAAAGUUGAGCGCACGCUCGAAGAUCUCCAUACUAACGAAGAACUCGCCCCGAUCCAUACCUCCCACCUCAAAGGUGGCAUCCUUAACACCUAAGAGGAUGCCACCCGAGUGGCCAUUGUUCCCACUAGAAGGGAGCCAAUGCCAGGCGAAUAGGUGGGAGCUAAGGUUGUCAAGCUCGGAAAGACAGAAAUCCAUGCGCAUGGUUUCUUGGAUGGCAAUGAUGUCGAUGUGCUCGUCACGGAUGUACUCAACUAGCUGGCGGCGGCGGCCGUCAUGGCCGAAGCCGCGGAUGUUCCAGAAGAGGGCACGCAUCUAAACCGCCAUUGAGGGGUUGCUUGACCCCAAGAAGGUGGAAGCACUGUGGGCUCUAAGAGCGGCAGUGCGAGAUCGAGUGCGACCACGGAUUUCCUCGACCGGCAGCCCAGAUGGGGUCUGGGGUGCCGGGGUGCGGAGGAGGCGGGCCCGGGUUUCGGCGAGUUUCCCGUCAAGGAUCUCGCGAGCCUGGAUAGCCGCAAUCUGCUCUAAGGGGGGACCCACUUCCCCCCUGAAAACUAUAGCCGAGUCUAGGGCCACCUUGGCGAGGCGGCCCAGCGGGAUCGCUUCGAGCGCAGAAAAUGAGCAGACGGAAGAACUGGAGGGGGUGUCGGACGCACCUGUCUCGAGGUUCCGGGCCGCAGCCCGGAUCUCCGCCCGCUCUGAGAUGGACGGAACCGGGAGGCCGGCCGGGCGGUCCGCGUCGAGUCAGGCACUGCGGCAAGAGGCAGUCACCGGAGUCGACGAGGCCCGAGCCCGGCGGACGUACGAAACCGACCGAGGCGGGUGGGAGGCGAUAGGGGUGGCCACAUCAGCGGAGGCCACCAGGAGCAGGCACGGCGGGGACGCUGGAGCCGGUGGCGCCAGCAGGGCACCGGACCCCGCCAAGUCGGGGGAGGGCGGGUCCGGGGUAGGCAGGUCGGCCACCGGGGCGGGAGCGAAAGCCGGUGGAGAGGUGGGAGGUGACGGAGGAUCCUCCCCAGGAGGGUCAGCCGGGGCAGACCCAAGGGGGGCGGGAUCCAACGCCGGCGAGCCCGACAGCAGCGGAGAGGCCACCGUCGGGGGCGGAGGUGGCGGGGUGGCCUCGGUGGAGAGGCACGGCGAGCGCGGCGAAGAUGCCGGGAGGACGAGGAGACUGACGCUGGAGAAGUCGCUGAGCUCGGCCGAAGAGGAGGGGGAGGAGUCGGGCAGCGCGGCGGGGGCCGCCUCGACGGAGGCCAACCCCCGCGACCGGCCCGCUCCCGAAUGCCCGCGCCCCGGAGGGGGUCCGAAGGGACGGGCGAGGGGGAGCGGCUGCGGCCUGAGCGCUCAUCGUCGUCCUCUGGGUCCUCGUGGCGGGAGGGGCGCGGACGGCGGUAGUGGGAGUCGUCGCGGUGGUCCGCGCUUCCCCCGGCAAAGUGGUCCUCAGUGAAGCGCCGGGGGCGGCCGAUGUGGUUGGGAGGCUCGGGGUAGAUCUUGAGGUCGAAACCCUGGUCGUUGAAGAAGACUCGGACGGUUGCACGGAGGGUGGAGGAGUCCAGGCACUUGACCUUGACACGGGCCUCCUCCUCCUUGCGGAGAGAGAGCUCGUCCACCACCACCACCUUGCCCAGGAGCUUGGACAUAUUGCGGAUCACCUUCUCAGAGCGAGCAAUGUCGGGGAGGCCAGCGAUGAGGAUCCAAGCAGUAUCCAGCACGGCCACAGCCUUGGGGUCCAUCAGGGGCUCAGAGAUGUUGACGACGAGCUUGUUGAGGGCGAGGGUGAUGUCGUCGCUACGGGUGCAGAGGCCUAGGCUAAGGGCGUCGGGGAAGACCACGGUGAAGGAGCUGUCCGAGGUCGGAGUCACUUGCCAGUCCCAGACACGGCGGCAGAGGUGGUUAAGCUCGGCCUCGAUCAUCUCCGGUGAGGCGACCCCGCCCCCACAAUGGUCAUGACCACAAGGAGUGACGGGGAUGGGGGAGGGACGUCCUCGACCUCGAUGUGGAAGAAGCCGAGACCCUCAAUGCCGUGGCCAUACAUCAUGAGCUCCUCCGACACCGGGCGGUCCGGGCAGAGGGCCGCGGGGUGGCCCGAGCCCUUGCAGAGGUAGCACAUCGGCGGGUUGGGGCACUCGAUCUGGUAGUGGCCGGCAAUACCACAGUUGAAGCACGGCGGGGGAUCGNNNNNNNNNNNNNNNNNNNNNNNNNNNNNNNNNNNNNNNNNNNNNNNNNNNNNNNNNNNNNNNNNNNNNNNNNNNNNNNNNNNNNNNNNNNNNNNNNNNNNNNNNNNNNNNNNNNNNNNNNNNNNNNNNNNNNNNNNNNNNNNNNNNNNNNNNNNNNNNNNNNNNNNNNNNNNNNNNNNNNNNNNNNNNNNNNNNNNNNNNNNNNNNNNNNNNNNNNNNNNNNNNNNNNNNNNNNNNNNNNNNNNNNNNNNNNNNNNNNNNNNNNNNNNNNNNNNNNNNNNNNNNNNNNNNNNNNNNNNNNNNNNNNNNNNNNNNNNNNNNNNNNNNNNNNNNNNNNNNNNNNNNNNNNNNNNNNNNNNNNNNNNNNNNNNNNNNNNNNNNNNNNNNNNNNNNNNNNNNNNNNNNNNNNNNNNNNNNNNNNNNNNNNNNNNNNNNNNNNNNNNNNNNNNNNNNNNNNNNNNNNNNNNNNNNNNNNNNNNNNNNNNNNNNNNNNNNNNNNNNNNNNNNNNNNNNNNNNNNNNNNNNNNNNNNNNNNNNNNNNNNNNNNNNNNNNNNNNNNNNNNNNNNNNNNNNNNNNNNNNNNNNNNNNNNNNNNNNNNNNNNNNNNNNNNNNNNNNNNNNNNNNNNNNNNNNNNNNNNNNNNNNNNNNNNNNNNNNNNNNNNGCGCGGAGGGGAGCGCCGGGAAUCGCGGGCGGGGGAGCGGGAGCGCCGGGCGUCGCGCGUCGGGGAACGCCGGGGCUCCUGGGAGGUCAGCUGGCGACGGAGGUCAGCCUCCCGGUGGUGGCCGUCCGGCGAGGCGCGGGAGGUCGCACGGGACUCCUCGAGGGGGCGCUUGGGGCGCCCAGAGCCAUCUCCCCAUUCCCGCGUCAUGGGGAUGGGCGGAGGGCCCGCGGCGGGAGGUGGGGACGGAGGGGGCGACGGGGGCGGGAGGAGGGAGCAGGAGGAUGCAGAUGAGGAGCGGGCGCGGGGGGAGGAGGCGGCUGGAGGGGAAACCCUCGCGGGAGCCAAAUCCUCCCCCAGUCGGGGCUGGGGUGGGCCGAGGCCAGCGCUGGGUCCCUAGUGGGCUGGGGCGGUCCAGCCGGCCCAGACAGGUCAGGCGGGCCAGACAGCCGGUGCGGGAAGGGGAGCAGGCCCACUCCAGGCCGCAGGCCCAGAAUCGGGCGGCCCAGCCCAGGGACGGGAACCACGCGCCCGGCUUGGGCAUCCCCAGCCGCCGCCGCGGGUAAGGCGGCCGCCGGCCGACAAGGGGGGGCGAGGCGAGGCAGGGCGACGGGGGGACGUCGAGCAGCACAGUCUUGAGGAGCCGAAGAAAGCAAUGAAGGGGCGAAAGGGGAAGCGCCGGGAGAGCGCGGGGGAGCCGACAACCUGCGGCGCGGCCGGCCGGGCCAGGGCGAGCCGGCCAGAGGAGCACCACGACGAGCGAGCGGGGCCAAAGUCGGCUCGGCCGGCGACACCCAAGCCAGCGUUCCGGCGGCGACGGCGGCCAAUCCCGGGGCCCAAGUCCUUGCCNNNNNNNNNNAGGGGGACGGCGAGGAGGGGGAGGCGGGGAGAGGGGGGCGGCGGGGUCACCAGCGGACGGGGCCGGGAGGGCGGGCGGCGCCGGCGGGAGCAGGGCGGGCGCGUCGCCCCGAGGGGAGCCGGAGUCGCCAGAGCCCGGGCCUUCCAUCUUCAAUUUUGCAGAGCUGUAUGGAUAUAUAUUACAAUGUCCUUGUCCCGAUCAAUGUUUCAUUGAUCGCCGUACGGUGUAGAAUCGACCAGCCAUCCACCUUGGAUACAUUUGGCAUUUUAUUUUCAAAACGCUAUUUUAAAUAUAGCACGCUAUAACUUGUAUAACAUUUGGAGAAGGGCCAUGCUAUUUUUGGUAGCACUCUAUUUUUUAUAUUGGUUCAUAUGCUGCAUAUUGUACGUCAAAUUUAUUCUAGCCCACCAACACCUCAACAAACAACACGCCAGUAAUGUCAUUGCAGAUUCAACAAGAUUAGUUUCCGACCAGGUAACAAUAUUAAUGACAUAAAAGAGAUGAUAGGCUCAAAAUUUUAAGAAAAAAAUCUUGUGAUCUUUCUAUUAAACUUAUGGAGAUUAUAGAGUUAACUUCCAAAAUGUUAAUUGUCAAGCCAUAUAGUACAAUUUAGCUUCGAUAUUACUUCAGCGCUGGUAUUCAGUGUAGGCUGCAACAGGGUACCGAUGACCAUUCCUGGGUUUAAUGUAAAUAUUUUAAGCCAUUAUCAUUUAAGACACAUCUGAACUAUUCGGAGUGUUGGUGCUUCGGCUCAGAAUGUACCUUUGACUUUACAGACUCCGUGAACCCACUGAAUUGUGCUAGGCUGCUAGCUAACGUUUUCCAAAAAAAAAAAAAACAUGUGCGUGUGAAAAAUGGCCCCCGUGUAAGUAAGAUCCUAAAUCCACCAUUCAAACCAAGGAGUGAAACCCUCUUGAGCCAUGACUAAUCAAGGCAGUUUUAACCCGCACUCCAAACCCUACGACGAGCAUUUGAUAACUCUACCAAGCAGCGUCAGCAAAUGCGUGUAGACUUGGUGGUGGUAUCGGUUUGAUUCACCUUGCGGCAGAGGGGGCGAGGUGGAUAGGUCUCUCGAGGUGGCGCUGGAGAGGCCUUCGGGCGAAAUCCCGUCUGAAGGAGCGGAGCGCGGGCGAUGCGCUGCGGCGGCGGGGCCGGG